AGAGAACACACAGGAAAGGUUGGG
RNAcentral lists this non-coding RNA (24 nucleotides) under Mus musculus (house mouse). Lineage: Eukaryota; Metazoa; Chordata; Mammalia; Rodentia; Muridae. The record is from RNAcentral.